CCUACGGGAGGCAGCAGUGAGGAAUAUUGGUCAAUGGACGAGAGUCUGAACCAGCCAAGUAGCGUGAAGGAUGACUGCCCUAUGGGUUGUAAACUUCUUUUAUAUGGGAAUAAAAUGUUCCACGUGUGGGAUUUUGUAUGUACCAUAUGAAUAAGGAUCGGCUAACUCCGUGCCAGCAGCCGCGGUAAUACGGAGGAUCCGAGCGUUAUCCGGAUUUAUUGGGUUUAAAGGGAGCGUAGGUGGAUUGUUAAGUCAGUUGUGAAAGUUUGCGGCUCAAACGUAAAAUUGCAGUUGAAACUGGCAGUCUUGAGUACAGUAGAGGUGGGCGGAAGUCGUGGUGUAGCGGUGAAAUGCUUAGAUAUCACGAAGAACUCCGAUUGCGAAGGCAGUUCACUGGACUGCAACUGACAUUGAUGCUCGAAAGUGUGGGUAUCAAACAGGAUUAGAUACCCGGGUAGUC
RNAcentral lists this ribosomal RNA (460 nucleotides) under uncultured bacterium. RNAcentral's name for it is "partial 16S ribosomal RNA". It matches the Rfam family "Bacterial small subunit ribosomal RNA", at positions 338 to 795 of the family's 1533-position model. The record is from RNAcentral.